Molecule: ribosomal RNA, 651 nt
Filed under: uncultured bacterium
Lineage: Bacteria
Description: bacterial SSU rRNA
Rfam family: Bacterial small subunit ribosomal RNA
Source: RNAcentral
CGAUCAGUAGCUGGUCUGAGAGGAUGAUCAGCCACAUUGGGACUGAGACACGGCCCAAACUCCUACGGGAGGCAGCAGUGGGGAAUAUUGGACAAUGGGGGAAACCCUGAUCCAGCAAUGCCGCGUGUGUGAAGAAGGUCUUCGGAUUGUAAAGCACUUUUGGCAGGGACGAUGAUGACGGUACCUGCAGAAUAAGCCCCGGCUAACUUCGUGCCAGCAGCCGCGGUAAUACGAAGGGGGCUAGCGUUGCUCGGAAUGACUGGGCGUAAAGGGCGCGUAGGCGGCGCGUACAGUCAGAAGUGAAAUUCCUGGGCUCAACCUGGGGACUGCUUUUGAUACGUGCGUGCUUGAGUGAGGAAGAGGGUUGUGGAAUUUCCAGUGUAGAGGUGAAAUUCGUAGAUAUUGGAAAGAACACCGGUGGCGAAGGCGGCAACCUGGUCCUUUACUGACGCUGAGGCGCGAAAGCGUGGGGAGCAAACAGGAUUAGAUACCCUGGUAGUCCACGCUGUAAACGAUGUGUGCUGGAUGUUGGGAAACUUAGUUUUUCAGUGUCGUAGCUAACGCGAUAAGCACACCGUCUGGGGAGUACGGGCGCAAGGUUGAAACUCAAGGGAUUGACGGGGGCCCGCACAGCGGUGGAGCAUGUGGUUA